AAACAUCUCUUUUAGUUUAUUUUAAAGGUUUGACCUGCUCAAUGAUUUAUUAAAUAGCCGCAGUAUCUUAACUGUGCUAAGGUAGCAUAAUAAUUAGUCUUUUAAUUGAGGUCUGGAAUGAAUGGUUGGACGAGAAAUAUACUUUAUUUAAUUAAUUUUAUUUGAAUUUAAUUUUUGGGUUAAAAAGCUUAAAUAAUGAAGAGGGACGAUAAGACCCUAUAGAUCUUUAUUUUUUUAUAAAUUUUUAUUUUUUUGAUUAUUUUUAUUUAUUUUUAUAUUUAAAUUUUUUUGGGGUGAAAACUAAAAUUUUAAUCUUUAGUUUAUUUUUACAUUUAUUUAUGUUUAUUUUGGUCUUUUUUUUUGAUUACAAGAAAAAGAUACCUUAGGGAUAACAGCGUUAUAAAUUUGGAGAGUUCAUAUUGAUAAAUUUGUUUGCGACCUCGAUGUUGGAUUAAAAUUUUCUGUGGGGUAGGUUUUACAGAAUUUAGGUCUGUUCGACCUUUAAAAUU
Molecule: ribosomal RNA, 509 nt
Filed under: Dorysarthrus mobilicornis
Lineage: Eukaryota; Metazoa; Arthropoda; Insecta; Hemiptera; Dictyopharidae
Description: partial large subunit ribosomal RNA
Rfam family: Bacterial large subunit ribosomal RNA (bases 388-509)
Source: RNAcentral